UGGGGAAUAUUGGGCAAUGGGCGCAAGCCUGACCCAGCAAUACCGCGUGUGUGAAGAAGGCCUGAGGGUUGUAAAGCACUUUCAAUGGGGAGGAAAAAGGCAAGUUUAAUACGCUUGCCCUUGACAUUACCCAUACAAGAAGCACCGGCUAACUCCGUGCCAGCAGCCGCGGUAAUACGGAGGGUGCGAGCGUUAAUCGGAAUUACUGGGCGUAAAGCGUGCGUAGGCGGCCUGCCAAGUCAGAUGUGAAAGCCCUGGGCUCAACCUGGGAACGGCAUUUGAAACUGGCAGGCUCGAGUUGGGUAGAGGCAGGCGGAAUUCCGGGUGUAGCGGUGAAAUGCGUAGAUAUCCGGAGGAACACCAGUGGCGAAGGCGGCCUGCUGGGCCCAAACUGACGCUGAGGCACGAAAGCGUGGGUAGCAAACAGGAUUAGAUACCCGGGUAGUCCCUGAGCGGGCUGGCAAGGCGCAU
Molecule: ribosomal RNA, 471 nt
Filed under: uncultured bacterium
Lineage: Bacteria
Description: bacterial SSU rRNA
Rfam family: Bacterial small subunit ribosomal RNA
Source: RNAcentral